RNAcentral lists this unclassified non-coding RNA (402 nucleotides) under soil metagenome. RNAcentral's name for it is "partial contains 5.8S ribosomal RNA, internal transcribed spacer 2, and large subunit ribosomal RNA". The stretch from base 1 to 121 matches the Rfam family "5.8S ribosomal RNA", at positions 35 to 154 of the family's 154-position model. The record is from RNAcentral.
GAUGAAGAACGUAGCGAAAUGCGAUAAGUAACGUGAAUUGCAGAAUUCAGUGAAUCAUCGAAUCUUUGAACGCACCUUGCGCCCUUUGGCCAUUCCGAAGGGCAUGCCUGUUUGAGUAUCAUGAACACCUCAACUCUCAUGGCUCGCCAUGAUGAGCUUGGACUUUGGGGGUCUUGCUGGCCUGUGGUCGGCUCCUCUCAAAUGGAUCAGCUUGCCAGUGUUUGGUGGCAUCACAGGUGUGAUAACUAUCUGCGCUUGUGGUUUUCCAUCAGAUAACCUUCAGUGAUGGAGGUUCGCUGGAGCUCAUAAACGUCUCCCCUAAGCGGGGACAGCCCUUUGAAUGUUUGAUCUCAAAUCAGGUAGGACUACCCGCUGAACUUAAGCAUAUCAAUAAGCGGAGGA